CAGUGAUGACCACAAGAGAUUUACAGAUUCAGUUUUAAGGUGAGUUUAAAAAUAUGAAAAGAAAAUAUAUUAUUUUUCAUAAAUGACUCAGUACCAUUACAUACAUACAGCAUUAAUGCAACUUUUUAGAACACUGAAUGUUAAACAGUUUGAUUUGGUAAAAUUAAUGCAAUGAUGCUGUUUAUUUAUUAAACAAUUAAAAAUGCAUUCGUGUUGAAGGCUACGUGGUGAAGACCUUACUUCGACUGAUAAUGGGUUUUAACUUGGAUUGAGAGAUGUGUCAUUGACACUCAUACCACAUCUUCUUAUAUCUAUCUAUAAAUCACAGGAUUUCAAAUUUGAUGAUAAAAGAAAAUUAGUAAAAAUCCAUAAUAAUUAUUAAAAAAAUCAUAUUUAAUAUAUUAAAACAAAUUCUUAAUUUCAGACAUGACUACAUUAAAGUUACCAGUUUUAUUAGUAUGUGUGCUUGUAAUACACCACACGGUGGCAGCACCAGCCUUACAUGAUAUGGUGGCAGCACCUGCAUUACAGAUAUCAAAGAAGUUCCACGCGCCAACAGAUGGAUCAUGUGACUAUACAUCGUUGUUGAGAUGUCUCGUGAGCUCGACUACUACAUUAUAUGAUGACUGUGUUACUAAGUGUGAGAACGACUACGAUACAAGACACAAAUGUCAAAAAGUAUGUUAUGAAACAGGCUAUACAAAACUUGAAGCAUGUAUCAUAAACUUUAGCAUCAGAGCUAAGUACGAGUUUUAGUAGUUUUAGUGACAGUUUACGAAUGAACAUUGUACGAUUCCGGAUUUGUGGUGAUAAGAACGUUGAACAUAAAAAGUUUAUUUAGCACUUCAACUUGCUUCGUAGAUUAACAAAAACCGACCAGUACUACUGCCUUUUGGAGAUUAUCACUCAGUCUGCCGUAUCAGAAAUAUAUUUAAAUUGUUGCUUAACUAUAUGUAAUGUGUAUAUAAUACCACACUGUAAAGGUAACCGUACAUUUUCAUUGAAAAACAAAUCCAUUUUUGUAUACACAAUCGAUAUUAAAAGUGUUAAUAGAAACAUUGUAUUAACUCGUUUAAAUAUUUUGCAUGGGAAAAAA
This 1096-nucleotide long non-coding RNA is filed under the name Mytilus galloprovincialis (Mediterranean mussel). Lineage: Eukaryota; Metazoa; Mollusca; Bivalvia; Mytilida; Mytilidae. The record is from RNAcentral.